GCUACGGGAGGCAGCAGUGAGGAAUAUUGGUCAAUGGCCGGAAGGCUGAACCAGCCAAGCCGCGUGAAGGACGAAGGUGCCAAGCAUUGUAAACUUCUUUUGUCAAGGGACAAAAUCAGGCUCGAGAGCCUGACCGGGGGUACUUGAAGUAAAAGCAUCGGCGAACUCCGUGCCAGCAGCCGCGGUAAUACGGGGGAUGCGAGCGUUAUCCGGAUUUAUUGGGGUGAAAGGGUGCGUGGGCGGAACGUUAAGUCAGGGUGAAAAGCCCGGGGCUAAACCCCGGCGAGCCGUUGAUACUGGGUGUCUUGAGAUGUCGAGAGGUAUGCGGAAUGCGCAGUGUAGCGGUGAAAUGCGUAGAUAUUGCGCAGAACUCCGAUUGCGAAGGCAGCAUACCGGCGGCGAUCUGACGCUGAGGCACGAAAGCGUGGGUAUCGAACAGGAUUAGAUACCCCGGUAGUC
Molecule: ribosomal RNA, 459 nt
Filed under: uncultured bacterium
Lineage: Bacteria
Description: partial 16S ribosomal RNA
Rfam family: Bacterial small subunit ribosomal RNA
Source: RNAcentral